AUGAGGAAAGACAAUUCAUUGUUAAAUUAGAUUUUGGAAACCUUACACACUAAAUAGAUGAGGAAUAUUAUUUCUGACAAGAGCUUGGAACUCCUCAUCAUCACAAUAAGCUGCAGGGACAGUCCUCAUGAGGGACGACUGUCAGACGGCUGUGUUGUCUGGAAACAGUCUUCCUCAGAUCAGGCAGAACUUCAUCAUGCAGAUGUUGUUCUCCUCUCUCACACUCUCAUCCUGCUGGGUUCUCUCAGGUGAAAAGGUCAGAGGUCUGGUUGGAUGUGCAGGAAAAAGCAGCUUCAUGGACCCAGAAGGUAAAGACCCGAGUCAUCAGUCCUGAGUCUGGACACAUGAAGUCUGAUUCGUCCUUCUCUGAGGGCGUCUUUGUCACACUGAACUCGUCCUGCAAACUGUCCAUCCUGAGACUUUGAGACCUCAACACCCUUAUGUACAUGAUACAGGAUCAAGGGUUUAACACCAUUAAACAGUUGACAGAUAAUGUUAAUUGAGGUGGAGGAACUGUCAGGUUUGGUUGUAAACAUCCAUUCCAGUGUGAUGGUGUCGUUCUCCUCUGCCUGAUAGGAGGUCUGUGUCACUUUCACUACAAAUGUUCCUGUUGAGGAGACAGAGACGGAAAGUGUUUAAAAUACACCAGUAAAAAGGUCAUGAAAGGUCAUGACCAAUAAUAAAUACAAUCUAAGUAAUAACUGAAUAUAGAGCAUCUUCCCAACUGUAAUGAAGAGUUUCUACUCGCUUUAAUAG
This is a long non-coding RNA of Thunnus maccoyii (southern bluefin tuna), 756 nucleotides long. RefSeq lists it as uncharacterized. The transcript is spliced from 4 exons. NCBI's taxonomy places the organism in Eukaryota, Metazoa, Chordata, Actinopteri, Scombriformes, Scombridae. The record is from RefSeq and is a predicted model, not a curated record.